UUUCUUUAUCAAUGAAUAAAGAGCUCCCUCAUUUGUUUUUCAUGGAAGCAUAGUUUUAUAGUUCUUACCCAUACACUAUUGAUCUUACACAGUUUUAAAAACCUGUCAAUUAUAGCACCAUAGACAAGAUAGCUAAUUUGGCUUUCCUACUUCUGUGCAUUCAUCACUAAUUAGGGCUUCUUGUUUGGUUGCAAUCUCGCCUCCCUUAUUUCACACAACAAGGUCAGCAUUUCUGGUAUAUACACACGACUCUCUGUCAAGCAUGAUAUUCAUAACCAUUCUUUAGUUAUCUGAUUUAUUUUGCACUGCUUAUGAGAUAAUUUUUUUUUGCUCUUUUACUUUUUAGGUCCUUGAAAUUUCCUCCUCCAAGGUAUUCAAGGUGAUAGUAAUCAUCUUCUGAAAUUGGGCAAGGAGAACCACGUCUUACCAGGGGAAACUCAAGAUGUUUCUUCACACAGAGAACACUUCCCAACAUUUAAGUUCAUUGUGUUUUAUUUCCUCUUUGUGACAGUUGUGAGUAAAGGUCUAAGGUGGUUGUGAUGGCUGUUUGCAGGGGUUAAUUGUGCACUGAUGAAGGCUCAGUUUGAAAACGCUGAAUUCGUAUUAAAAAUUGGAAACAGAGGUGUUUAAAAGGAUAGCAGGUGUGUCUUGGAGGGAGGGUUUAAGACUUUGCAGAGCUUACCUACAUACUCAUGUUUUCUGCCAACAUAGUUGCUGAUGGUGAAGUUGACUUGGGCUUAGUAGGGUUAUCUUCUAAUUAAAAUGCCAAUUACUAAUAUUUAUAUUUACCUGCAAUGACAUUUAGCUUUACAGUCUUUGGGUGUAAUCUCACUUUGUUUGUUAAUUGGUUUGAACUAUUCACUCAUUUUAAAAUCCUGAGAAAAAUCCUAGAGACAAGUGAACAUAAUUAAACUGGAGCUUCAGUCACUUCUUAACUGUGUUUUUUCCCAACAGACAAAGAAUUUGUAUGAACAGAAACAAGGUUACUACUCAGAGAGGUAAUUAAAGUUCCAAUUUAUACUUUAAUAAGGGUGAAUCCCAUUCCACUUAAGAUGAUCAUUGUGAAAUUUGAUCAUUAUGAAAUAUAAAAUGGGAAAAACCACUUGCUUGGAGAUCUAUGCAAGAAUAUUCUAAUUCAAGCAACAUUUAAGAAUUUACAGGGUUGCCUUUUGGUGUAGAGGCAUGAACUUUGAGCUAGAUCUGGGAUUCUGUCCCAAAUUUAACAUUUGCAAUCUGUGAGAUCUUAGUCAAGGUAUUUGAGUCUCUAAGCCUUUGCUUCCUGGUCUUCCGAGUCACCAUCUUUACUAGCUUCUGAAUAGUAUGUUUAAAGAAGUAAAUGAGAAUAUAUAUAUUGAGUAGCUCAUACUUGACUUAAUAUGUUAGGCAGUUAAUAAAUGUUAGUUUAUUUUUCCUUCUAGUGUUUAGAUGAUUCAGGGACAGGAAUUAGAAACCACAAACAAUAACACCACCACCACCUCACCUGUGACAUCCUGGUCCCUUCAGGUCACUUAUAAACCAA
This 1519-nucleotide long non-coding RNA is filed under the name Marmota monax (woodchuck). Lineage: Eukaryota; Metazoa; Chordata; Mammalia; Rodentia; Sciuridae. The record is from RNAcentral.